RNAcentral lists this ribosomal RNA (497 nucleotides) under uncultured bacterium. Its description in RNAcentral is "partial 16S ribosomal RNA". It matches the Rfam family "Bacterial small subunit ribosomal RNA", at positions 28 to 507 of the family's 1533-position model. The record is from RNAcentral.
GAUGAACGCUGGCGGCGUGCCUAAUACAUGCAAGUCGAGCGAACAGAUAAGGAGCUUGCUCCUUUGACGUUAGCGGCGGACGGGUGAGUAACACGUGGGUAACCUACCUAUAAGACUGGGAUAACUUCGGGAAACCGGAGCUAAUACCGGAUAACAUUUGGAACCGCAUGGUUCUAAAGUGAAAGAUGGUUUUGCUAUCACUUAUAGAUGGACCCGCGCCGUAUUAGCUAGUUGGUAAGGUAACGGCUUACCAAGGCGACGAUACGUAGCCGACCUGAGAGGGUGAUCGGCAACACUGGAACUGAGACACGGUCCAGACUCCUACGGGAGGCAGCAGUAGGGAAUCUUCCGCAAUGGGCGAAAGCCUGACGGAGCAACGCCGCGUGAGUGAUGAAGGGUUUCGGAUCGUAAAACUCUGUUAUUAGGGAAGAACAAAUGUGUAAGUAACUGUGCACGUCUUGACGGUACCUAAUCAGAAAGCCACGGCUAACUACGUG